AAGUUUUUGGACAGCAGAAAAACCUUGUAUGAUGCUUAAUACAUUUAAACGUUAUAAACUAAGCAACUCCCCAACCAACAAUUCACUACCACCAAAUAGAACUCUAUUUUCUGAUCUUUCAACAAGAUAACCACAACUCAAUAUUCGUAGAACAUGUAGCAUUGAAAAGUAACAAAUCAGUUGUUUUUGAAUUGUAGAGAGAUAAUUUGUGUACAGUUCAAACACUUAAGAUUUACCAAGGCUUUUAGCUCUUCUGGCAGCUCAGUGAUGGGAGUAUCUGAAAGAUUAAGGUAUUGUAGUGAAAUGAAUUUCAAAAUUCCUGAUGGCAAUCUUCUCAGGUAACGGUUCUUAUCGUGUGUUUGUGUGGUAUCGUCUUCUUAUCGCGUCAAAAUUGAACUAAGUCGAAUCCGGCUUAUUUUAUAAUUAUGUCAAGAAUCUCAAACCAUACACGAAUCCAUUUAUUAUUUUCACCUAUUUAAUAAAAUUUUAAAUUUUUCUUCAUAAAAACUGUUAGGAAAUUGGUGGGUGAAGCAGGACCGCAGCUAAGAUGAAAUCGUAAGAAAAUAAAGAACAAGCACAAAAAUUAGACACAAGAAAUUACAUGGUUCGGCUUUUAGCCUACGUCCACAGGCGAAGACAGAAGGAAAUAUUUUACUAGUAAAAAGGAGUUACAAGUAUUGUAGUAUUUUAGCUCACUACCCAAAACCCCAAUACACCAAAACUCUCAAAUCACUAUAACAAGAGCUUAUAAUUUUAAGCUCUCUAAACUCUCUCUCAAAAUGCCUUUCACAAAUUUGGAUGCACAAAUCAAAAUGGGUGCUCUCCCCUUUUAUAGCCAAAAUUGGCUAUUAAAAUAUAUUUUUUUUUUUCACCGCCAUUGAAUGUCAAAGUUCCUUCUUCAAGAAAUGCUGCUGCUGCUGCCAACUUUCUUCUUCUUUGAACAACAUUAUGCUGACCAUCUAGAUGGUUGCUUUAUACCAUCUAGAUGGCCACCUUAUUUGACAAAAACGAAAGUUAAGGUGUUUUUAUUACUUUUUUUGUUUUGAAAUUAUGUAGUAUUACCUACACAACAUCCAGUCAAAUUUGUUUGAAAUAUAAAUAAAUAGCUUUUAAACAUGACAUGUAACGCAUAUCUAAUUGACUAAUAGAUAAUUUAAUAUUAAUUGAUUAAUUAAUUAAUCGUUCAUAAAACAACUUAUCAUAUUAGCAUGCUUAUGAUAAUCCUUUACAAUUCUUAUUCCAAUUGUUUAAUUUAAAUAAUUCAUCAAAAAUGAUUUAGUAAAAAUCAUUUCUGCAUAACAUGCUUGAGAAAAAGAAAUUGAGUUCAGAAUUGAAAACCAAAGAAUAUAUAGAUUUUGAAUUCACAUCCAACUCAACGGAACAACGAUAUUCAUCCAAAAUCAUGAACCAAAUCUCAAAACAACAUGUUCAACUUUGUUUGAAAAUUUUACCAAAGCUUCAUAAUUGUUAAGAUGAAUGGCAAAUACUGCAUCGCUUUGUAAACAGUAGCGACCGCCUUCUCAGUUGCUUCCAGCUAUUGAUUAGAGAUCCUUGAGCAGCAUCCAGGUGUUCACUCUUUUGGUGGACAGUUAUCAAUACCCCAAAUAAAAAUCCUUGAACAAAGGAUUUGGUUAUAGUUAGAACAGAAGAUAUUAAAAAGAGUAUAUAAUAGACCAUAGAAAAUCAAAGCCCCAAAAAAUUGAUUUUCAUUUGAUUUUCUGUAAAGAGGCCUAGUAUACUUAACAUUUUGUAUUCAUUCUAGAAGUGUGUACUUCAGUCUAAUUAUAUCCUUUUACGGAAACUAAACAAAUUUAUGUGAGCAUUAAUUGAAUUCAACUAUUCAAGCAUCAACUUGAAAAAACAGAGCAAAAUUUGCCAACAAAAAGUAAAAAGCCAGAGCAUCAAUUCGACCCAAAAAUAAAAAAGAAAAAGGAAAUGGCAGUGCCUUGAAAAUUUUCUAAAGCAUUGACUCCAUAUAAUUCAACAUUUAAUUGUGAUUUGCAGGAGACAAAAAACGAAUCUGAAAUAAAAACCUAGUCUGUUGCACGAAGCAAAUGACGAGAAUAUAUGAAAGAGUUUAAGAAAAAAGCACUCACUAGAAUCAAAUUUUGCAACCACCGCUCAGGAAUUUAUAUUUCAUGAGAUUGGAAACAGGAACGAAAAGCAAUUUGAGUGGCUUCAUCCUCCCAUUGAAGACGGUUCCACCAGAGUGUGUAUCCACGAAUAACGAAUUUACGCUCUGUUGCACUGUUGGAAUCGAGUGGAAGCUUUUUAAGCUGAUUACACCCAUGUACCGUCAUUUCUUUGAGAUGAGUGAAAGGCAAUGGCUUCCAGUAGAUGCUCUUCAACUCUGGCAAAUCAGUUAAAUAAAGCGUUUGGAGAUUUCCAAAAGGGCUUAUAUGUCCCAUCACCUCAGGAGUCUCAGCAAAUUUUCCAACGCUGAUUAUUUCUUCCAUAGCAUUGCAUCCGUAUAGCGAAAGAGACUUGAGGCUUGGAGCAAAAACGAGGAAUGUCAAAUCUUUCAAUUUAUGGCACCGCUCCAUAGUAACACGGUGAAGGCUGCGGAAAACAAAAGGUUCCGACCUUUUUGGCGCAAUCUCUGUAUAAUCAACCUUCAAUUCUUCCAACUCCACUGCCGAACGAAUGCAUAGUUCAUUGAGAUGCUUUAGAUCUGAGAAAGCCGUAGCAUGAAUCGACUUUGUACCUCCCAGCUUAUUGAGGAAAAGAGAUCGAAUACAAUUUUUUAACUUAUUUGAGCUCAAAAAAAAUUGGAGAGCAUCAUAGCUUCGCAAGGUCAACUCCAACACCUCUAAAUAUUUCAAACCGAGCAAUUCAUGUACUAAAACUUCACCCCCACCAAUUAAAACGCUGUCUUCUGAUGGUUCUUUAGAAUUUUCAAAGCCAAUAGCGAACAUUCUCAACACACGUAACCAUGAAGAAUUUGAUAUUAGCUGCCGUGGAAUUUUAUUUAACAUAUGUGUCCACCUCAAAUUCAAACAUUUCAGAUUUACCAACAACUUUAACUCUUCUGGUAACUCUCUUAUGCCGGUAUGUGAAAUAUCAAGAAGUUGUAGUGAACCCAACUUUGACAUCCCAAAAGGUAAUUUCAAAACUUUGACAUGCCCACAGUUUGACAUCUUCAAAACUUUGAGAGAAGGCAUACAUUGGAAGAAGCCAUCGGUCAUCAUCUCCAAUUUAUAAUUAAAGUCAAGAAAUAAAGUGAGGAGAUGAGGGCAUGUGGGAACCUCUGACAGAAUUUCAAUUUGGUUUUGCAUCAAUGACAAUCUUCUCACAUUUUCCCAUCCUUCAACAUCUGAUACCGCUCCUACUCCAGCACCUGCACAAACCAAAAAUUUUCUCUCCUCCUUCUCAAUUUCACAAGCUAUCCAUCGAGCCAUAUCACGAACAACGUCAUGCAUUUUUACUUUAUCUUCUUCUAACUCUUCUAAUAAACAUGCAUGAACAAGAGUGCCCACAAUGUAGUAUCCUUGGUUUUCUGCACUGAACCUGUCAGAUUCCUCUAAGAAUCCCUCACCAAUCCAACAAUCAAUCAAGUCCCAUUUAAGAAUGCCAUAAUCCUCGGGAUAUAAACAACAAUAUAAGAAACAAGAUCUAAUCGUCUCAUUCUGCAAACUAUCAUAGCUAAACUUUAAAAGACGAUACACCUUUUCUCCCAAACCUGCAAACUCAGAAGCUGAUGUUCUUAGCACAUCAAUUGCAUGACUCCACUCCUCGGCUGUCUUUUUGAAGGCCAUAGCUCGACCAAUAGUAAUAAGUGCGAGUGGCAAACCACCACACUCUUUGGCCACAGUUUGGGCUAGCUCAACGAUAUCAUGAUCACUCUCAAGAGUUUCUUCCCCAACUUUUUUUCGAAACAGUUCCCAAGCAUGCUCUUCUGAUAAGCAUGCCACUUGGAACUUCUUGUCAGCUUCCAUGCUACCACAAACAUCGACGAAACGGGUUGUGAAUACGACUUUUGAUGUAGUAUUUUUUUGUCCGGAAAGUGGAAUGCCCACUUUUGUUAAAUCAACCCGCUCCCAUAUAUCAUCUAACAGCAAUACAAUUCUCUUCUCUCUUAAACUCCGGAAGAUGUCGAGAGCUUUCUCCUCUACACUUUUACUCUUCCAUGAAUCAUCAACCAAACCGAUCUUUUUCCCAAUAUCUUCUUGAAUUUUUUCGAGUCGCAAGUCCUUUGAAACUACGGCCCAAAUCACACAAUCAAAACUGGUUGGACUCUCAAGAAAUUUAUUGUUGAUAUGGGUCAAUAGUGUAGUUUUACCAACACCGCCCAUACCAUAUAGGCCAAUGAUUCCCACUGAUUCUUCUACAAGACAUCUCCAAACUUGUUCAAGUUGUGAUUGCAAGCCUACUAUUGUUGGCUCAGUGGGUCUUUCAUCUGCUACAGGUUCUGGAGCUCUCUCAGGCACCACCUCGGUAGCCACCGCCGCAAAAACUCCUUCGUCGAUUAAAGUCUGCACAUCCCGUAGCUUUUUAGCCACUUGUUUCCCGAACUUGUAGCUUGACGCGCAGUUCUUGGAACAGUAGCCUCCAACACAUAAUUUGUCAAUUUCUUGAGAGCCGUGUCUUUUCAAUUCAUCAGCUUCAGUUUCAACAGCUUCCACCCUCGAAAGCCACACUUGCACUUGGUCCAGCGUUCUCAGUUGUUGCCGUUCAGCAUUGACAACCCUCAUCAUCACAUCGUUCUUUGCUGCGAUUAGUUUUCCCAAUUCAGUCUCCAAGGCAACAAGGUUAUCUUGGAGCUUACUUGUGUUUGCUACUUUUCCAAGAAAGCAAUCCAAGCAACGAUUGAAAAAAGCACCAUCGCAUGUGAUUUGAAAUAUGUUACCCAUAUUUUGGAAUUUUGAUACGCGAAGAAACCAAGAAAAUUGAUUGAGUCUGAUUAACUGAGGCUGCUGUGGUCUAUGGAAGAGAAAAGUAAUGAUCUCUGUCCGUUAUACCGGAGAAAUUUUGGAAAGAUUUACACACGUCUUAUUGGGUACCCACUGACGUUGCCUUCAAAAGAAAGGCAUCGCACUUGUACAAACGUGAUCCUAAUGUUUGAAGAAAUAACAAUCCUUUACCCCUUUUUUCUUUUUUGUGGGGACAAUUUUAUUUGAUAUACUAUUUAAAUUGGGUGUGUCUAUACACUACAACUCUACAUAAUUAUAAUAGUAGGACGAAACUAAUUUAUUAUUAUGAAGUAGUUAAAACCUAAUAAGCAUGUAGUUACAAAAAUUAUCGUUAUAACUUAGUUACUUUUAUUGUAAGGAUAUAGAGAUGAAGUACGCAACGUAUUAAUAAUUUAUUAAUAAUUAUUGUUAUAACUUAGUUACUUUUAUUGCAAGGAUAUAGAGAUGAAGUAUGCAUCGUUUUAAUAAUUUAUUAAUAGAGCAUGUCAAAUCUAAUAUAUAAAUAUAUCAAUGUAUUAUUGUUAUAAAUAUGCAAAGUCAUCUUAAAAAUCUCUAAAUAUUUGUGUUCUCUUUAAUAACUUUCUCUCGUUGUCUAAGUAGUAUGUGGAGACAAGUUCAUUUAAUUUAAUGCAACAUAUAUAUUUAUAAUAUGCAAAUAAUUAUUACUAUAUAGAGACAAGUUCCUUAGGAUGGGAUCCAUAAUAAAUAUAACUUAUACAAUGAGGAUUUUAUUCUUAUUUAUAACUCUGCCUAAAUUGCGAACAAAAUUUUUUAUUACUAAAUGGAGAUUAUUCCUAUCAUUAUGGAGAGGUUUUAAUGUAAUUGCUUCAAGAUUUGAAUGUGUCAGUUUUUCUUUUUUCUUUUUUUCCUUAAAAGAUUUAAAUAGUCAGGAGAGCUACAUCCAAGGGAUGUUUUCUUUUCUUUUCUUUUUUUUCCUAACAAAUGUUCUAAACUAAUUGUAGUAAAAUAUGUCAAUGGUAAUAUUUUGUGUAAGAAUGUAUCAAUAUGAGCCAAUUAUAAAAAGGAAUAAAAACUCUACAGUGUAGUAAGUUAUAAAUUUUCUUAGGUCCUACCUUAAAAGACUUGUCUCCAUAUACUAACAAUUAUCUAUACGUUGCAAAAUAUGCACAUAUAUAUAUAUAUAUAUAUAUAUGUUUACUUAUAUUAAAGGUUUAAGACGAAAUAAAAUAUUUUGUAAAAUUAUUUGUGACAAUAAUUUAUUCUUAAUUUAGAGUUCUUGCCCAAUCAUUGUACAAUAUUUGUAGAAUUUAACUAAGAGAAAAAACUAAGGAUAAUGUAAAGUGUAGGCUUGACUUUCCAUAUUCAUAACACUACAUAAAUAUACAUUAAUUAGUUUUUUGAAACUAUGUCUAUCUAUAUCAUUAAUAUAUAUACAUUAGAAUUGACACGCUUCAUUAUUUAAUUAUCAUUGUACUGCAUAUUUAACCUUUAUAUCACUUGACACUAACCAUAUUAAAACAAUAAUUUUGUAACUAAACCUAUAUUACCUCAACAUAGUAAUAAAAUUAAUUUUGUUAUAAUGUUAUGACUAUAGAGAGGUUUUACUGUAAUUAGAGAUAUGUUUGUCAAUUUUUACCAACAUUCUAAAUUACUUAAUUUCUCCAAUUUCAUAUUCAACUUUGCAAAAAGUAAUUCGUAGCUUAAAUUGCGUGUAAUGAAAAUUUUUUAUUAUUAAUUCACACAUAAACUCGAAUUAAAGAUCCGAGUUCUAAGAAAAUUACUGCUUAGCACUGGAACUGAUCCAUAAAAAAAAGGUAACGACUUCGAUGAACAGAGACUGCCCCGGAAGAUAACAAUAACUCUGAAUAAUGAUUGUAAUUACCAAAAACUAUUCUAAAAGAUAAUAAAAGAAGAAUUUAAAAAAGAGUAGACGACAGGAUAUUCGAUUCUUGACUACUUUAUACUUUCUUUGCCUUUAAUAAAAGAGCCUACGUUACUUUUGCUUUUGUGGAAUAUGGUCUUGCUUUUUCUUGACAACUUUCAACGACACUAGCGCUAAAAGUGAAACAAUUAAUGUUUCAAGGCCAAGGCCUAAUCAUGAUAAUUGGUAAAAGACUAAAAUACCAACAGAAAUUUCUUCUCUUUACAUUUUUAACUGAGAUUUUAUUUAAAUAAAUAACGUUAAAUCAUGCUUUCUCACCACCGUUCGUAUAUAUAAAAGGAGAAAAACAGUUACACCCCGAAUAUUUGAAAAAAUAGAUGUAAACUCUAAAUUUUUCAUAAAAACACAAAAAUUCUGUUUUGAUCAUAAUAUCUUUUGAAUACUAGUUAAAAAAGAUUAACUUUGAAAUUUUAUAAUAAAUAGAAAAUAAUAUAAAUAGUUUAGUCUGUCUAAUAGUUAGUAAUAUUAAAAUAUUUUUUAAUAUUUAAAAUAAUUUUAAAAAUAUGAUUAUUAAUUUAUUAUAAAUAAAUCUUUGGGUUAAAUAGAAUUUUUAAUUAAUAAAAUGCAUCUCACGCAUUAACAAUAUUAAAGUUAUUUUAUAUAAUAUUCAAAAUACUUUAAAAAUUUUAUAUAUCUAUUUUAAUAGUAUGUUUGUAUUUAUUAUAAAAUUUACUUUAAAAAAUAAAAUAUAUCUGAUAGACUAUAAAAUGUUAAAAUAUAUUUUAAAUAUUGAGAUUAUUUUAAAAUAUAUAUUAUUUUAUUUAUUUUAGGAUUAUAUGUUUUUAUUUAUUAUAAAAUAUUAGAGUCAAAUUUUUAAGUUAUCUAGGAAAAAUAAUAUUAUAAUUAAAAAAGAGUUUUGAACAUUUCGGGGUGCAACUUUUACUUUUCUCUAUAUAAAAUAUUACUAUACCACUAAAAUCAGCUCAAUUUUUUUCUUACUAAAUUCAAUUUCCAUAAAGAUUUCGUUAAUCAUUAAUAUUCUUUAUCUUUUUUUAAUCCUUAUAAUAAUGAUCAUCUCUGUUCCCAGCUAUAAAACAAACCGAUUUUAAAGCUAUAAAGCAUAUAUGGCUCUUUCUCUGUGUGCAAUAAUUCUAAUAAGAUAGAGGUGAAAAACAUUUGACUUUCCAAAUAUUAGAGUCAAAUUUUUAAGUUAUCUAGGAAAAAGAAUAUUAUGAUUAAAAAAGAGUUUUGAACAUUUCGGGGUGCAACUUUUACUUUUCUCUAUAUAAAAUAUUACUAUACCACUAAAAUCAGCUCAAUUUUUUUCUUACUAAAUUCAAUUUCCAUAAAGAUUUCGUUAAUCAUUAAUAUUUUUUUAUCUUUUUUUAAUCCUUAUAAUAAUGAUCAUCUUUGUUCCCAUCUAUAAAACAAACCGAUUUUAAAGCUAUAAAGCAUAUAUGGCUCUUUCUCUGUGUGCAAUAAUUCUAAUAAGAUAGAGGUGAAAAACAUUUGACUUUCAAAAUUUCUAAUAAAUACAAAUAUAACAUAAAUAAUUGUGGACAAAUGUAUAAAAAUGUUUUAAAUAUUUACAUCAAAAUGUGAAUAAUUUAUUUUUAUUUAUUUUAAAGAUUUUUAAAAAUCAUUGGGUUAAGUAAUUUUAUAAUUUACAAAAUAUAUCCCACGUAUUAAUUAUACUAAAAUUAUUUUACAUUUAAAUCUUUAUAAAUUUAUUUUAAUAUUAUGUUGCUAUUUGUAAGAAAAAUCUUAUUAAUUUAAUAAAAUAUGUCUGAUAGAUUGUAAAACAUUAAAAUAUAUUUUUUAUUGUAAUUAUGUAAAAUGUGUAAAUUAUCACAUUUAGCUUAAUACUAUAUUUUUAUUUGUUAUAAACUAUUGGAUCUUUUAUUAAUAAAGUCAAAAAAUAACAUUAGUCAAAAGAUAUCUUAGUAUCUCUUAUUGAAACUUUAGGAUACAGUUAUCCUUUUCCUUUUUAUUGGAUCCUAAUCCAUGUCAUUAUAGUUGGCAAAAUUUGACACGACCCGAUUAUCCGACACGAACACAACACUAACAAAUGGGUAUGGGUCGUCGAAUUUAACAUGAUUAUUAAAUGGGUCGGGUCCGGGUCAACACGAUUUUUUUCCGUGUCGGGUUAGGGUUAAAAUUCUUGACCCAUUUACCCGAUUAAUGACCCGAUUAUAUUUUUUAUUUUAAAAUAAUUUACAGAUUCUUGUCAUCAAAACUCAAAUAUUAGAGAUAAUUUUUUUUCUUUAAAAGGAUGAAUAUAGACACAAUAUUUUAUUUAUAAAAUUUUAAAUACAUUUAGAGCUUUAAUAGUUUAAAUGUAUAAAAUAUUGGUAGACAUGUAUAUUUUAUAAUAUUGAUAUACAAUAUUAUUUACAUAUAUAUAAUUAAAACCUUAAUAGUGUGUGUAAUAUUUUAGUAGAUAUGUAUAUUUUAUAAUAGUGAUAAAGUAUGUAUGUAUGUAUGUAUGUAUGUAUGUAUGUGCAUACAUAUGUAUGACAAAGUGUAAAUAUUUGAUGUAACUUUUGUUUAAUAUAUAGAUAUUAAGCGGGUUAUUGGGUAACCCGAUUAUUUUUUCGUGUCAGGUUUGGGUCUCAAUAUUUUGACACGAUUAUUAAAUGGGUCGGGUUUGGGUCGACCUAAAUUUGACACGACACGAACAUGACUCGAUGACCCGUUUUGCCAGCUCAACAUGUCAUGUGCUUUCCCUUGAUUUAUUUAUACUUUUGACACGUGGCUAGACAAGAUUUGUUGCUGCAAAUCCUGCACCGACACUAACUUAUAAUCUUAAUAAGUAAUAGUGUUAACGAGGCUUUAAUAAAAAAAUUUCCUCUAAAACAAACAAUAACAAUAAUUUUGACCAAAGUCUCAAGGACUACUACUCAUGCUAAUAUUUUAGGUGAAACUUAUUCGAAUGCAAAAUUAUCGACAACACAAUUGAAAACAUACUAGAUAAGACUUGAAUAAUCUUGAAUAUUCAAAUUUAAUUCCACAAAAGCGAACAUAUUACAACAUCAAGUUAAUAUCAAUUUACAAUCAAUCUAUUACAACAAACAACUGGAAAAAAAAAACCAUAAAAAACGAAUUGACAGACAUGGAUGAACUAACGCAGUCAUAUAUCUUCCAUUCAAUGAAUGCGUAUAAUCAAAUAGAGCACUGUUAAAAAUAUCCUUUGCUCUCUUUCAUAACAUUCUCCACUACGGUCGACUUUUCCAACUAAUAUAGGUGUCAAAAACAAAUAUCCUGCAACCAUCAAUCCAAAGCGUGUACUUUUUUAAAACUAAUAAGUUUGCCCUCUAAAGGGAUACAUUGCUUCUUCUUUUUUUUCUUUUUGGGAAUAUCUUUUGCUUGGAUCUCUUCUAAAUUAAUCAACGUCUCCAUUUUCAGUGUUUUAUUUCUUUUUCUUUUUUUAGUUAAAUAUUUGAUCAUCUUGUUAUACUUCAAUCGCUUUUAUGAUUUGUCUUAAAUAUUAAGGAGCUUAGAGAAAAAUAAUCCACAUGCAUGUACAAAAAAAGGGGGAAAGAGAAAAAUAAAAGUGUUGCCUAAAAACAUUGUAAUCUUAGAGCCAAUCCAAAAAUCCCCUUUUUCACAAUAGAUUCCUCCCUUAAAUACUCUAAAGGGAUACAUUGCUUCUUCUUUUUUUUCUUUUUGGGAAUAUCUUUUGCUUGGAUCUCUUCUAAAUUAAUCAACGUCUCCAUUUUCAGUGUUUUAUUUCUUUUUCUUUUUUUAGUUAAAUAUUUGAUCAUCUUGUUAUACUUCAAUCGCUUUUAUGAUUUGUCUUAAAUAUUAAGGAGCUUAGAGAAAAAUAAUCCACAUGCAUGUACAAAAAAAGGGGGAAAGAGAAAAAUAAAAGUGUUGCCUAAAAACAUUGUAAUCUUAGAGCUAAAGUAGUAAAGUAUAUGGGAUAACUCCAAUUUCAAAUAAAAUAAAAAGCAGUGACACUUGCUUUCUUUUUUCUUGUCCUUUCACGUUCAAAAAGUAAAAACGAUUAAUUUCAUAUUAAUCUCUUAUCAAAUAAUAUUUUUAAAUAUUUUAAAUUAUUGUAAUUUAAUUUAUUUCAUUUUAUUAAGAUAAAAUUUUUUUAUCCAUAUACCACAUUUUUCUUUUAUCUUUUAAAUAAAAUUAAGAUAAAUUAAAUUUAUAAUAAUUUAAGAGAUAUUUUAAAUAUUGUCAUCUCACAAUUGAGGUCGUCUGAAUUUUAUCUACAACAAAAGCAACGAACCACUUAUCUUUAAUAAUUAAAAUGAUGAAUGUACAUAAAAUGAAUGCAUUAGCUGGCCACCAAUUUGUCCUUAGUUGCAAGUGCAUUUCCUGUUUCACUCCGAAGCUUUUACAAAGUAUUUGCCAGUGAACUUUUGCACAUUCUAACCCUGCACUUUCUUCAUAAUUUGCAGGAGACAAAUGAAAUUGAAUUCACAAUUACCACAGAAUAUAUAAUUGAAAAGUUGAUUCACAUCACCCCCAUAUAGAACAAGUAGUACUGUGUGACUGUCCCGACCGAACAUACAAAAUUUAAUAAACAAAAAAAAAAACUAGCUAACUUUGUCAAGGACGGCAAGCAUGCAGCAACACCAGCAAUAGAAACAGAGACAAAGAAAUGAUAAUAUGACAGGAAGUGAAAAAAUGAAAGGGAAAAAAGUCACAACAAAGAAACCACCACAGGUCGUACUAAACCCCGCUGAUCUGCUCCAGAAUCUCUCCAUCCAUGUUGAUGACGCCCCCUUCAAUCACUUCUGAGUUGAUUUUAAAAAUGGAAGCAAUGCAUUCUGAGUUACUUGAUCCUCCCAUUGAAGUUGUUUCCACCCAUCUUUCUUUCCCUUGAUAAGAAUUUUACCUUGGCCUGCCCUUUCAAGAUCCAGUGGCAGCUUCUUAAGCUCUGGGCAUUUAAAUACAAAAAUUCUGCAUACAUCAGGGAAUGGCAAGGCCUUCCAGUAGAUGCUGUUCGAAUUUGGUAGUUUCUUCCAGUAAAGAACUUGGAGUUUUGUAAGAGGUUCAAGAUUUGACAUCAUCUCUUCACCUAAUUUUCCUACAUUGAUUAUUUCCUCUAUAUCACUUUAUGUGAACAAUAAAGUUAACAUAAUCAAUAGCACAACUUAGCUUUAAAAUACAGGUUAUAUGCUUUGCUACUAAACAAACUAAUAAGAAUCAAGUGAAUCUGCCAGCAUCUUGAAUGCUAACAGUGCUUGCUGAAUGAAAAUAUAUAUGUUGUCAAUAAAUGGCUGUAGAUGGAAACCUUACCUGUUCUAGAAGUUUUCCUGCUCGAGCAUGAUCCCCCCGAGCAAAUGCAUCAAUAGCCUGACAAGAAACUGUAUUCUUACUUUAUGGUUUUUAAAACUUAAAAGGCAAUUGACACAUACAAAAUUGCAUGUUUGGGGCAUAUAAAAAAUGUGUGAGAAAACAUAAAUAAGGGGAAAAAAUGACCAAACCCAUAAAUGAAAGGAAAAUUUAGCUACCUUCUCCCCGUAUAUAUAUAUUUCUACAGAACCACUUACAGGUUCAUAUGGUUGACCAGACCAGGAUUUAAAGCAAGUGAACCUAAUUCUAUAUAAUAACUUACUGCUGUUUUUCUUUAACAUUGAUGCUACCACAAUGCAUGAACUAGUAUCUACAGAUAUUCCCUUUCAAGAAAUAUGCAAAAUUUUAAGUCUUUCAGAUUCAGAGAACUUUAUCUUUUCUAUAAUGUAUGUAACUAAAAGAUAUUUGAUCUAACUGAAGCAGACAAAAUUCUUUAGACAUUCCAAGCCCCAAAGUGUAACUGUUACAAAGUUCUCCAGGUGAGAGAAAAUAUUCAUAUCAUAGUUUCCAUUAGUUAUUGCAGAAUCUUUAGUAUUCCAGAGCCACAAAGUAUAUCUGUUACGCAGUUCUCCAAGCGAGAGAUAAUAUUAAUAUCAUAGUUUCCAUUAGUUAUUGCAGAUAUACCAGUAUAAAGCUUUCCAUUAGUUCUCCAGUAAGUGGCAGAAAUCAAGAAUCCUACACACAUUAAUAUGCAUAAAUACAAAAGUAUACACACGAAAAUGCACACACUAGCAAAUCCAGUCAAUAUAGUUAAUAUAAGAGCACGUACUGUUCCGGUUAUCUUGCUGCAAGUCCACCACAUUAGCCUUGUAUUCUGUACCAAUUCCUCCGGCAGUUCACUCACCACCUUUCCUAAUGCUUUGGACCUCACACUUGGUCUUCACCGUAAUUUCAGGAAAUUCAUCAGAUUUCUCAGGAGCACUAAAUAAAGCAGCAAAAACUUCCUUCUGUAGUUCAUUUCCAUCUUCUGGGUGUCUAAACAAUUCUCCUUCAUUUGUAUUUGGAUCUUCCUUUGCACGUUUGAGGCAAUACAGUCAAAAGCUAAUCAAGUAACCAUAUAUGGAUGAGAAACCCCUGCACCCCCUUCCAAAACAAAGUCUAAGAAAUAUCAGAAUUCUUUCAAUAAAAAACCCUUCCCACCAUGCCGUAUCUACUGAAGGAAAAUAUAUUAGUCUUACAAGAGGUUGAGAAAAUAAAUUAAAUACCAUACCAUCCGGAAGAAUUCAAUUGUUGCAAUUUUCUUUCACGUGGAGGCCCUCCAAAAGUAGAGCACAUACCCAUACACUGUUUAUGAAAUCAUAAUGAUGGGAAACCAGGUAUUAAUAACAAAUCUUACACUUAAAAUGCAACUGUGAUGGAAAAGGAUAAAGAAAAAAAUUGAACUUGUUAUCUUGGAAAUGGUAAUCUAAGAUAUAGCAAACUUGGUACAUUCAUAUAUCAACAGAAGGAAUUUGUAGGUUUUUUAAAGCCAUAAUCAUUUAAUAAUCAUGAAUCAAGCAAUAAUAUAUCAUUAUUAUUUCUUUUCUUCUAAACUACAGAGACUUGCGCAUCAGAAUGAAGUGAUAUACAAUGGUUGUGAGCAGACACAAAUGCACGAUCAACAGAAAAAAUAAUCUGAACAUUUGCAUUACUAAUUUGGCAUAUAAAAGAUUCUCAUAAUAGCUCAAAAUACAAACAAAUGAACAUUUACAUGAAGACACUGCCAAUCACCCACUCCUAAUUUCUCAAAGAUUCAUUGUCUAAAGAUGAGGCAAAUACUCUCCUUGUUACUUAGAUAAGAAUAUCCAAAUUCUCCACAUGGCACAAUAUACAAAUUGCAUAUUCAUUUUCCUCUUCAAUACCAGUGUUAAGAAAAAUUAGUUAAGGCAACUGGAUGAAUUUUAGCAUCUAUCUUGGAUGAAUUGUCAACAGAGUUCCUCUUGUAUUCGUUCAACUGACAAUUAUACAAAAAGUUAUUGUCAGUGCAUGUUAAACUAUUACAUCCUACCAUUGGUUUUCACAUUGCCUAAAAUAGAUUUCCUUACUUUGCCCUGAAAGUGUUGCCUAGCCACUGAAAAGAAAAGGAAUUGAUGCUACCUCUAUGAUAUACAAACUGGAUCAUCAGCCACUUUUAAUCAUCUCCACAAGAAAAGAGUCCUGUACAAAAAUUAUGACCAUUGGUUAUUUAAUACUCCGGAAUUAUGCAUAACUUUUCAGAGGAUUUACCAAGAAAUUUUGUCUUCUCACCCAAAGUCUCUGCCGAGCGAUCAAUUGGUUUCAACAUGCUCUGAAGAGUGAAGAAAAAAACAUGUUAGUUAAGAAAAUGAUUAUAGAAUGGGCAUAUUUUCUUUGAAGAAUUACUUUAUUGAUUAAAUUAACUUGAGAAGGAAAAUUCAUGUUAUCAAGCUACAGAAACAAGCAGACCAAUUAUUAUUUCAACUUACAAUAUAGAAAUAUAAAAUCAUCACCUCAACUUUUCUUGAUUAAGAGGAACAUGCAUAACGUAAAGCAUCAUAAUCAGGUUCAAUGAAAAUGGUUCAAGUCUUCGAUCGAAACAAACAUUUCUGGCCGAAACAAAAUGAAGUCCUCCCAUUGCAUCAUAUCAAUCCAUGUUGAUGCCCUCAAAUGGAUCCGAAACAAGGAAGAAGAACAUUGAGGGUCACUUUGUCCUCCCAUUGCAGCUCAUUCGACCAAUGUUCUUCUCCCCUAAUGAUAGUUUUAGAUUCCUUUGCAUUGUUAAAACCAAGUGGAAGCUUCUUGAGAAUUGGGCAUUCAGAUACAAAAUUCGCCUGACAUGUAGAGAGGGCUACUGAUUCCAAUAGAUGCUUUUUAAUUUUGGUAGAACUCGUGGGCCAAGAUAUUGUUUGCAAAAGGGUUUAGAUCUGCCAUCAUCUCUGGAAAUUCAACCAAUUUCCUUGCACUGAUUAUUACUUCCAUCCCCAUACAUUUGUCUAUUUGAAUAACCUCAAGACACGGAGCAAAUACAAGCCAUGUCACUUCCCUCAAUUUAUGACAAGCCUUUAUCUUAACUCGUUGGAGGCUGUUCACACAAAAACAUUCUCGAGCCUUUCCAUCCUCGACACAGCAGAACUUAAACUCUUCCAAUUUCCACAAUUUGAAAAACCUAGUUUUUCAAGAUGCUUCAACUCUGCGCAGGCAAACAACUUUGAAUCACUACAGUCUAUAAGCUCCAAAGGUUGUGCACAGCUUUGAAACUUUUGGGAGCUCGUAAGUUUUUGGACAGCAGAAAAACCUUUUAAGGUGAUGCUUAAAUACAUUUAAACCAACCAAGAAUCCACUACCACCAAAUAGAACGCUAUUUUCUGGUAUUUCAACAAGAUAACCACAACUGAAUAUUCCCAGAACAUGUAGCAUUAAAAGUAACAAAUAAUCACGUCUAAUUUUGAAUUAGGCUGCUAAUAAAUAAUAUUAAAACAAGUAUGGAAUAAUCAUGUCACGUUUCUAGGAUUUCUCUUUAAAUAAGAAACAAUAAGUGAUGAUAACAAUUUUAGGCAAAGUUUCAAAAUCAUAGCUAUCAACAUUUCUACAUAUUUCUUACAUUUUUCUAAAACAUAAAAAUUUGAAUAAAUUAAAAAUGAUCGGAAAACUAGCCACUGGGGCAACUUCAAUGCUACCUUGGUUUCUCUGGUAUCCUAGUAUUGUACAUGGCUCUCAAGAAUGAAAUGAUCAACAGGAAAAAUCAUCUGAACAUUUGUAUUACUAAUUUGGCAUAUAAAGAUUCUAAUAAUAGUUCAAAAUACAAAUAAAUGAACAUUUACAUGAAGACACUCUGACACUGCCAAUCACCCACUCCUCAUUUCUCAAAGAUUCAUUGUUUAAAGAUGAGGCAAAUACUCUCCUUGUUACUAAAAAUAAGAAUAUCCAAAUUCUCCACAAUGGCACAAAUACAAAUUGCAUAUUCAUUUUCCUGUUCAAUACCAGUGUUGAGAAAAAUUAGUUAAGGCAACUGGUAUAAUUUAGCAUCUAUCAUGGUUGAAUUUGCCAACAGAGUUCCUCUCAUAUUCAUUAAACUGACAAUUAUACAAAAAGUUAUUGUCAGUGCAUAAUAAACUAUUACAUCCCACAACUGGUUUUUACAUUACCUAAAAUAGAUUUCCUUACUUUGGCCAAAAGUGUUGCCUAGCCACAGAAAAGAAAAGGAAUUCAUGAUCCCUCUAUGAUAUUACAAAACGGAUCAUCAACCACUUUUAACGAUCUUAAAAAAAAAAAAAAAAAAAAAAAAAGAAGAGUCAUGUACAGAAAUUGUAUGGGAGAGGCUUAAUGCUUAUAAAGGUAUUCCACAUUGCUCGAGUAUGGGAUAAGCCUAAUACUUAUAAAGGGUGAUCCACAGUUUAUAAAUGUAAUUUAUCUUCCAAAUUUCCACAAUUUGAAAAACCUAGUUUUACAAGAUGCUUCAACUCUGCCAAGGCAAACGACUUUGAAUCAUCACAGUCUAUAAGCUCCAAACAUUUUGUACAGCUUUGAAACUGUUAGGACAGAAGAAAAACCUUUUAAGGUGAUGCUUAAUACAUCUAAACGUUUUAAACUAAGCAAUUCCCCAACCAAGAAUCCACUACCGCCAAAUAGAACCCUAUUUUCUGGUAUUUCAGCAAGAUAACCACAACUGAAUGUUCGCAGAACGUGUAGAAUUGAAAAGUAACAAAUCAGUUGUUUUGGAAUUGUGGAGAGAUAACUUUUGUACUCCAGUUCAAACACGUAGGAUUUACCAAGGCUUUUAGCACUUUUGGCAACCCAGUGACGGAAGUAUCUGAAAGAUUAAGGUAUUAUAGUGAAAUCAAUUUAGAAAUUCCUGAUGGCAAUCUUCUCAGGUAACGGUUCUUUGAUAGAUUUUAAAGUGUAAGAGAAGGCACAAAUUCGAAGAAACCUCUGUUUGGAUAAAAUUUCAACAAAGAGAACGAAGAGAAGUGAUGAGUACAGUACAAAGAACUUUGCUUCUGGGCUUAGCGAAAAACAAAUGUUUCGAUUUCUAUACUACAACGUUCAAAAGCAAAUGCACACACUUUAAUCAACCAAACCAGGCAGAAAAUACAAUACUUAAUUUGAAGUGCAAGCGCGACUAACUACUAUGCAAUUCCGCUUUGACUUGAAUUUUUUAGUAGGGAAUCAUUUGCAUCAAAAUGAUCAAUUAAUUUACUACAAAUGAUUGGGGCAAUUGAUAAUGACAUGUAAUUCAAACCUUCAUAAUCUUCAUAGUAUAUCCUUGAAAUAUUCUAGGUAUAAUUUUCUGAAAUAAAAAAUUUAAUGAUUGGCAGCUAAAAGAAAAAUUAAAUUCUAAAUGCACUCGACUAUCAAGUUCUCUCCACUUUUCUCUUGUUGUAAUCACGUCUAAUUUUGAAUUAGGCUGCUAAUCAUGUCAUGUUUCUAGGAUUUCUCUUUAAAUAAGUGAUGAUAACAAUUUUAGGCAAAGUUUCAAAAUCGUAGCUGUCAACAUUUCUACAUAUUUCUUACAUUUUUCUAAAAAAAUGAAUAAUUGAAUAAAAAAAUGAUCAGAAAACUAACCAUCUGGGCAACUUCAAUGCCACCAUGGUUUCUCUGGCAUCUGGACAACUAAUAAAUCAUGCAAAUCGGCGACAACACUGGCCUAGUGGCACCAAUCAUCGAGAAUCGUUUAGCAAUGGCAUUUCAAGUAUACAGAGAUAGCUCAGAGCAUCACCAAAAGGCUCUUCAAAUAAGAUUUUAUUACUUAUUUGAAGAGCCACAUCAAUAUUUAAAGCUCCAAAAGAUACUUCAAUUAAGAUUCUUCAAAUAAGAAUUAAUUCUCUCUCUUCAAAUUUGGAGAGUUAAUUUCUCCCUC
Molecule: long non-coding RNA, 17860 nt
Filed under: Citrus sinensis (sweet orange)
Lineage: Eukaryota; Viridiplantae; Streptophyta; Magnoliopsida; Sapindales; Rutaceae
Description: long non-coding RNA (CSIN_LNC000216)
Source: RNAcentral